GGAGAGUUUGAUCCUGGCUCAGGAUGAAUGCUGGCGGCGUGCCUAACACAUGCAAGUCGAACGGAAACAGGUUCUCACUGUUUUCUUGACUCGGAGUUUUUGCUUCGUAAUAGUCGAGAAAAGAGUGAGAAUGCUGUCGAGUGGCGGACGGCUGAGUAACGCGUAGGAAUCUGCCCCAAAGUGAGGAAUAACUGCCCGAAAGGGUGGCUAAUACCGCAUAUGAUCUUCGGAUUAAAGUCUUCGGACGCUUUGGGAGGAGCCUGCGUUAGAUUAGGUAGUUGGUAGGGUAAUGGCCUACCAAGCCUACGAUCUAUAGCUGGUCUGAGAGGAUGAUCAGCCAGACUGGGACUGAGACACGGCCCAGACUCCUACGGGAGGCAGCAGUGAGGAAUCUUCCACAAUGGGGGCAACCCUGAUGGAGCAACGCCGCGUGAAGGAUGAAGGUCUUCGGAUUGUAAACUUCUUUUAUAAGUGAAGAAUAUGACUGUAACUUAUGAAUAAGCACCGGCUAACUACGUGCCAGCAGCCGCGGUCAUACGUAGGGUGCAAGCAUUAUCCGGAGUGACUGGGCGUAAAGAGUUGCGUAGGCGGU
RNAcentral lists this ribosomal RNA (592 nucleotides) under Candidatus Saccharimonadota bacterium. RNAcentral's name for it is "bacterial SSU rRNA". It matches the Rfam family "Bacterial small subunit ribosomal RNA", at positions 6 to 579 of the family's 1533-position model. Lineage: Bacteria; Candidatus Saccharimonadota. The record is from RNAcentral.